ACAAAGCUUAGAAUUAUCCGACCUACCAGAACAGGUAUAUUCAUUUACUAUUAUGAAUAGCUAAAUUCAUAAAUUCCUAACAAUCAUGAUAUGAUAAAAUAAGUUCAUGGUAGUUGCUUUAUAGUAGAAUUAUUCGAAAAAUAGCAUGUUAAGAAUUUUAUUAGCAAAGUGGAAAAGGAGAAAAUUCCUAAGAACUAUGCCAUCCUAAAGGUGAAACCGGUGAGGUAAGAAAGUCGUGAUAGGGGAGUAGCCAGAGUAUAGACUCUAUUUAAGGGAAAAGUAUCCAGAUUACCAUGUUAAUAGUGAUCGAAGAAUAUGUUAUUUAAGAAUAAUCUAGUAUAUAGUAAUCUAAAGUGAUCAUAUUUUGUUAUGUUUAUGAUUGAAGGGAAUAUUUUGAAAAAGCAUCAUAUGAAAAUGAAUACUUAUUUAUCUGAUGAAAUGGUAGAUAAAUUUAACAUACUUGUUUUAUAUGUACUUAAGGAUAUAGAAAUAGUAGAUAUAAGAAAAAUCAUAUUGAAAAAAUUAUUUGAUAGAUAUUUUAUUACUAGAAUUAAUUAUAUACCACACCUACCUAACUACUCUUAUAAAUACUUACAUACCAAACCCACACAUCAACAAAAAUAUUAGACUAUGAAAUUGAAAUUAUAAAUUGGAUAGAACAACUAUACCUAGAUAAUUACCCAGAUGGAUAUUAUUCAGACUAAAAUGUUAGAAUAUAUUAGAAAAAUUAGAGAAAACCAAAGUGACCUAUAUGAAGAAAUUAAUUAUAGAAACCGAUUCAAAGAAAUAAUGGAAAAUCUAAAAGAAAAAUUAAUAUGGAUAAAAGAAACCAUAGAAAAUUUAGAAAAAAGUACAGAUAAUAGUUUAUAAAACAUAAAAAACUCAUUAAGAUAAGAAGAAAGAGAGAUAAUUAAUAAAAUUAAUAACCUUAAUUCAGAUAUAAAUUAUAGUACAAUUAGAAUAGAAUAUUACACGAAUAUUAGUAAACAAGCAACUACUUUAGAAUAAAAUGAUAAACUAUGAGUAUUUAAAAUACUGGCGACAAGAUAUGGAAGAAAUAAGAUUAGAAGAAAUGCUUAUGAAAGGGAAUUUAAUCGAAUAUUUUAGAACAAAAGAUAUAGAAUAUUUAGAAUACCUUAAAAAUAAUAUAGAAGAAUUACAAAGACUAGGAGAAAAAACAAAAGAAUACUACAGUAAAGCAUUUAAUUAAAUACCAUUUAAUCACCCCUCAAGAUAUGAACAAUAAACUAAAAAUAAAAAUAUUUAAAGAAGUUAAGAAAUAUCCACGUACAGAUAAAAAUAGAUCCAUAAUUACAAUAGAUCUAUUAAAGUUAUCCGCACCCCUACAAUUGGUAUCAUCUCUUCUUAGGUUUUCCUUAAUGUUGAUGAAUCAUAGACUUGUAAAAGAAUUUGUUAGAUUUCUUUUUCUUAGAAAUCAUAUUUGUUAGAAGAUUAUGCUGCUAGCAGCUUGCUAAUCAGGCCAUGAAUAUUUGCCAAGAUGUCUAAAUAACUUCAAAAUAAUGGUGAUAUUUUGAUAGUUGAUGCUAUUUAAUUAUGAUUUACGUGUUUAGUACCCUCAAUGAGUGUCAUAUUUAUAGUUUUCCUUUUCUUUAUAUAUUUUUUCUGAUUAUAUAAAGUGUUCAUGUUCCUAGACGUUCAUUAGUCCCCUAUUCCUACUUAAACACCGUCGUAAGACCUUUAGGUAUGAACAUGAGUUCUAAUUGAUUUCUAAAUUUUUAGUAGAGGCCUUAAGUAGAUUUGAGAAAAAUGCUGAUUUAUUUGGAAGCUGCAUGCAAACAUGUCUUCCUGCACACACAUAUUCCCUGUAAUAUCUAUAAUAUUGGAUAAUGAAUUCCUUGAACACGAAAGGGUAUUUUUGUUAGACUUUGCGAUUAAUUGUUUUCUUCAAAAUUUCUUUUUGUUCUUGUAUAUAGUAAGUUGUGAGCAAUUGAUUGAGGUGGUUGUAUUUUAGCAUCGUGAUUAGUAGUCACCUUAGGUCGUGAUCACUUGAAUCCUUGAGAAAUUUUAUUUGAAAUUCGUUUUGUCAUUUUGUUCUUUUCUUUCCUUGUGAGAUUUUAUUUAGUGCAUAUUUUUAUGUUAAGGAGAAAUCUUAGGCAUUCUAUUUGGUUUGAUGGAGUUCAUAAGUCGCCAUGAUUUAUUUUUCGAUUUUGUUUGUUAACUUCUCUAUGUGCGUUCAAGAAUUAAAUUUCCAUUAUCUAAUUCUUGUCUUAUUUUCUUUUUGCGUAUGCAUUUGGAACAAAUGAAGUCUUAAUUCAAGACUUUUGCUAAUGAAGUCUCAAAAUGACAUUCGAUGUUACCCCUCAUCCGAACAAGGAGUCAUAUUCUAUACUCUCAAGUCUAAUUCGCUAGCAAUUUAAAGCCUCUUCCUUUCCUUCAAGCUCUAUUUUCUUUGUAUACAUAUGUCAUAUUGUCUUUCAUUACUUUAUUUUUUUUACACG
RNAcentral lists this long non-coding RNA (2459 nucleotides) under Capsicum annuum. RNAcentral describes it as "long non-coding RNA (CANN_LNC001478)". The record is from RNAcentral. Lineage: Eukaryota; Viridiplantae; Streptophyta; Magnoliopsida; Solanales; Solanaceae.